UAGGACAACUGGCUACAACUGUGGGGAUAUUGGAAUCUAGAGGCUCAGGAAAAUUAUCAUCUCAAACAGUAGUCAACCCAAGGGAGAAUGCAAGUGCCAUAACUUUGCGGAAUGGAACACAGUUGGAUACACCACUGACCCCCAUAGAGUUCGAGAAGGAAGCAGCUAAGGAGGGAACAGAAAAAUUCAAGGUACAACCUAACCCUCCUAAUCAGCUUAAAAACAUUCAUCUUCCC
This 236-nucleotide long non-coding RNA is filed under the name Panax ginseng (ginseng). RNAcentral's name for it is "long non-coding RNA (PGIN_LNC017564)". The record is from RNAcentral. Lineage: Eukaryota; Viridiplantae; Streptophyta; Magnoliopsida; Apiales; Araliaceae.